UACGUAGGGGCCUAGCGUUGUCCGGAAUUAUUGGGCGUAAAGAGCUCGUAGGCGGUUUGUCGCGUCUGCUGUGAAAACUGGAGGCUCAACCUCCAGCCUGCAGUGGGUACGGGCAAACUAGAGUGCGGUAGGGGAGAUUGGAAUUCCUGGUGUAGCGGUGGAAUGCGCAGAUAUCAGGAGGAACACCGAUGGCGAAGGCAGAUCUCUGGGCCGUAACUGACGCUGAGGAGCGAAAGCAUGGGGAGCGAACAGG
This 253-nucleotide ribosomal RNA is filed under the name uncultured bacterium. RNAcentral's name for it is "partial 16S ribosomal RNA". It matches the Rfam family "Bacterial small subunit ribosomal RNA", at positions 524 to 776 of the family's 1533-position model. The record is from RNAcentral.